Long non-coding RNA from Sinocyclocheilus anshuiensis, 109 nucleotides. RefSeq lists it as uncharacterized. The record is from RefSeq and is a predicted model, not a curated record. Lineage: Eukaryota; Metazoa; Chordata; Actinopteri; Cypriniformes; Cyprinidae. The transcript has 3 exons.
UUUAAAACAAACACUCACUAGUGUAAAUGUAACCUAACAGAUAUGUAGAUGUGUAAACUGAAGACUAUUUGAGCUUUAUUAAAACUAUUUGCACUGAUUUAUUGUGUUG